Molecule: ribosomal RNA, 253 nt
Filed under: uncultured bacterium
Lineage: Bacteria
Description: partial 16S ribosomal RNA
Rfam family: Bacterial small subunit ribosomal RNA
Source: RNAcentral
UACGGAGGAUGCAAGCGUUAUCCGGAUUCAUUUGGUUUAAAGGGUGCGUAGGCGGGGCGGUAAGUCAGUGGUGAAAGCCUGCAGCUUCACUGUAGAAUCUCCAUUGAUACUGACGCUCUUGGAUGCGGUUGAGGCAGGCGGAAUGUGUAAUGGAGCGGUGAAAUGCUUAGAUAUUACACAGAACACCGAUUGCGUAGGCAGCUUGCUAAACCGUGAUUGACGCUGAGGCACGAAAGCGGGGGGAGCAAACAGG